Molecule: non-coding RNA, 115 nt
Organism: Heterocephalus glaber (naked mole-rat)
Lineage: Eukaryota; Metazoa; Chordata; Mammalia; Rodentia; Bathyergidae
Source: Rfam
ACCCAUGGCUAUACCACCCUGAACAUGCCUGAUUUUGGAAGCUACACAGGGUUGGCCCUGGUAAAUAUAGUAUUUGGGUGGGAGACCUCCCAUGAAAUGCUAGGUGCUGUAAGGU